CCCGUUUUUCGUCCGGCCGGACCGGCCGGCACGGUGGAGUAACACGUAUGCAACCUGCCCUCUUCAGGGGGACAACCUUCCGAAAGGAGGCUAAUCCCGCGUAUAUCGGUUUCGGGCAUCCGAGAUCGAGGAAAGAUUCAUCGGAAGAGGAUGGGCAUGCGGCGCAUUAGCUAGACGGCGGGGUAACGGCCCACCGUGGCGACGAUGCGUAGGGGUUCUGAGAGGAAGGUCCCCCACACUGGUACUGAGACACGGACCAGACUCCUACGGGAGGCAGCAG
Molecule: ribosomal RNA, 280 nt
Filed under: uncultured bacterium
Lineage: Bacteria
Description: partial 16S ribosomal RNA
Rfam family: Bacterial small subunit ribosomal RNA
Source: RNAcentral